CAGAGAGAAAAAAGCCAAUGUCAUCCAGUCCAGCUUCCCUGCACAUACUCCAGGUAAAGGACCAGAAUAUUACUGGUGGUUCUGACCCAUCUAAUUCCUCUACAAGAAUAUCUGGGGGAUGUUUCCCCCCCACUUCUUACGUUCAUGAUACUAUGAUACUACAUUUACUGCAGCUGGUGGAAUAGCAUAAUAAUUAUAUAUUAAAGUUG
Non-coding RNA from Pelobates cultripes (western spadefoot toad), 209 nucleotides. The record is from the annotation of a GenBank genome assembly. Lineage: Eukaryota; Metazoa; Chordata; Amphibia; Anura; Pelobatidae.